AACAAGGUUUCCGUAGGUGAACCUGCGGAAGGAUCAUUACUGAGAUGAAGUAAUUCCCUCGAAAGGCCUUCGAUUAGGCCGGCCCCUCGGGCCGGCCGAAAGAACCUCUCGCACCCUUGCGUACCUCACCGUGUUGCUUUGGCGGGCCGACCCGGUUUCGACCCGGGCGGCCGGCGCCCCCAGCCCUCAGCGGCCAGGACGCCUGGCCAAGUGCCUGCCAGUACACAAAACUCCAGCGAUUAUCCCGUGCAGUCCUGAAACAUCAUUAAAUUGAAUCAAAACUUUCAACAACGGAUCUCUUGGUUCUGGCAUCGAUGAAGAACGCAGCGAAAUGCGAUAAGUAAUGUGAAUUGCAGAAUUCAGUGAAUCAUCGAAUCUUUGAACGCACAUUGCGCCCUCUGGUAUUCCGGAGGGCAUGCCUGUCCGAGCGUCAUUUCAACCCUCAAGCUCUGCUUGGUAUUGGGCGACGUCCGCUGCCGGACGCGCCUCGAAGACCUCGGCGACGGCGCCACAGCCUCGAGCGUAGUAGUGAAAUAUCUCGCUCUGGAGCCGCUGGGCGACGGCCGCCGGACAAUCGACCUUCGGUCUGAAUUUUCCAAGG
Molecule: ribosomal RNA, 601 nt
Filed under: Phyllosticta beaumarisii
Lineage: Eukaryota; Fungi; Ascomycota; Dothideomycetes; Botryosphaeriales; Phyllostictaceae
Description: eukaryotic LSU rRNA
Rfam family: 5.8S ribosomal RNA (bases 280-433)
Source: RNAcentral